ACGGCUUCAAGGUAGCGUAAUAAUUAGUUUAGUAAUUCUAUUCAAGUAUGAAGAUAAAACAGAAAGGUUAUUUCUUUUAUAUUGAUGUGAAUUUUAGUUUUUGUUGAAAAUGACAAAAUUUCCUAAAAAGACGAUAAGACCCUAGAAUCUUUACUGAGUUUUAUUGGGAUAAUAAAUUUAUGGAAUAAAAAUGCGCCAUUCUAGUAUAGACGAACCACAGGAGUGUUUUAAGAAGAAGAUACUCUAGGGAUAACAGCACGAACCUAUCUUAGAGUCCCUAUCGAAGAUAAGGUUGUGACCUCGAUGUUGAAUUAAAGUAACUUAGCCGCAGCUGGCCAAGGGUUUAAGUCUGUUCGACUUGUUAACUUUACAUGAUUUGAGUUAAGAUCGACGUAAGCCAGAUUGGUUUC
This 410-nucleotide ribosomal RNA is filed under the name Lernanthropus corniger. RNAcentral's name for it is "partial 16S ribosomal RNA". It matches the Rfam family "Bacterial large subunit ribosomal RNA", at positions 1945 to 2638 of the family's 2925-position model. Lineage: Eukaryota; Metazoa; Arthropoda; Copepoda; Siphonostomatoida; Lernanthropidae. The record is from RNAcentral.